UACUUGUACCGACUGGAUGAACAGCGAACGGGUGAGUAACGCGUGGGGAAUCUGCCUUUGAGCGGGGGACAACAUUUGGAAACGAAUGCUAAUACCGCAUAAAAACUUUAAACCCAAGUUUUAAGUUUGAAAGAUGCAAUUGCAUCACUCAGAGAUGAUCCCGCGUUGUAUUAUCUAGUUGGUGAGGUAAAGGCUCACCAAGGCGAUGAUACAUAGCCGACCUGAGAGGGUGAUCGGCCACAUUGGGACUGAGACACGGCCCAAACUCCUACGGGAGGCAUCAGUAGGGAAUCUUCGGCAAUGGACGAAAGUCUGACCGACCAACGCCGCGUGAGUGAAGAAGGUUUUCGGAUCGUAAAACUCUGUUGGUAGAGAAGAACGUUGGUGAAAGUGGAAAGCUCAUCAAGUGACGGUAACUACCCAGAAAGGGACGGCUAACUACGUGCCAGCAGCCGCGGUAAUACGUAGGUCCCGAGCGUUGUCCGGAUUUAUUGGGCGUAAAGCGAGCGCAGGUGGUUUAUUAAGUCUGGUGUAAAAGGCAGUGGCUCAACCAUUGUAUGCAUUGGAAACUGGUAGACUUGAGUGCAGGAGAGGAGAGUGGAAUUCCAUGU
RNAcentral lists this ribosomal RNA (611 nucleotides) under Lactococcus lactis. RNAcentral describes it as "bacterial SSU rRNA". It matches the Rfam family "Bacterial small subunit ribosomal RNA", at positions 77 to 674 of the family's 1533-position model. Lineage: Bacteria; Bacillati; Bacillota; Bacilli; Lactobacillales; Streptococcaceae. The record is from RNAcentral.